Corylus avellana is the source of this 794-nucleotide long non-coding RNA. RefSeq lists it as uncharacterized. The record is from RefSeq and is a predicted model, not a curated record. NCBI's taxonomy places the organism in Eukaryota, Viridiplantae, Streptophyta, Magnoliopsida, Fagales, Betulaceae.
UAAUCUGCCAUUCACGUCUUUCCUUUCCUUCUUCUCCAAUUUCCUGUGUCUCUUCCCUGAUUCAAAUUCAACUAUUCUUAUCCAUAAUCUCCGUUCAAUCGACGCACACACGAGCUCACUGAUUGUUUUUUCAAUUGUGUUCUUUUUGUGCUUCAGAGUCAUUUUAUACUGUGAAGAGAGCUGUGCCAUGGAGUGAUAAGGAGCCGAAGAUGGGGUUAGCAUGGAGCCGAAGAAAGGCGAAGGAUCAAUCUAAAGCCAGCCAACCUUCCAAAAAGAAAAAUCCUCCAAAGCUUAUCUCCUUCUAGGUCUCCUGCUCCUACUAGAUCUGUCAACCAUCAGUCUUGAGUGUGCCUCCAGUCCACUAAGAGAACCGGAAGACAAGAAGUGAGACUGGUCAUGGUCUACUUGCAAGGAAAUUCGUUAGACUAACGAGAUUGAAGAAUCUCAUGAAGAACGAAGAAAACAAGGGCUGCAACAACCCAUAAAUGGAGAGUGACUGACAAGUGUGGAAACUUGGAAAGAGAAGAACCUUACUUUUCCUCUGAAGGAGAAGAGGAAAAGAGAGCAUGGUCUGGCUAGCAGGGGAAAGAAUUCUGUACUUGAAGAAGAAACGAUGUUGUUAAGGAAGAGUGGCCUCGAUUCUGGUUUUGAUACUUGAUCCCUUUUGCUUGUAGUCAUGACCCAUGAGUUUCUUAAUGUAAAAUAUGUAAAAGCUCAUUUCUAUAUGGUCAUUAUUGCAUUGAAAAGAUUGGAUUGUGACCUAUAGUAGCAAUUCUAAGAUGACUUUUGAAGCA